GAGAGAGUCAAAAAGACCGCGAAACCGUUAGGAGGGAAACGAAUGCAGCCAAAGUGGCUCUCAUUCAGGCUCAGGAGUUGUCGGUGCGCAGUGCCAGGCUGUUGGACACCGAAGGGUGCGGCAGUCAGGAUACAGCAUGCCGAGCACUCUGCAUUCCUGAUGAGAGUCGGCCAACAGCAGUUACCCCUGACUCGAAAGGGCUGUCGGGAAGGUAGCUUCUUGGUUUACCAGGAAGAACUUAUAGCCAUCGGCCUGGCAGUUGGGGGUGACUGAGGAGUGCUGUGACUUUUCACACCAGCAGUGCAGGCUCCCUAGGGGCCGGGUCGCUUCUGUCCGUGUGGGCAAUGCUUCCGGGACUGCAUGCAGUGUCGGAAGACAUGUGUGUGCUCGGGUGGGAGGUUGGCCACGCCUUGCACUGAAGUUGUUGGUACCUGGAUGGUUUCAUUCGACCCGUCUUG
Molecule: small RNA, 458 nt
Filed under: Stylissa cf. carteri GW33559
Lineage: Eukaryota; Metazoa; Porifera; Demospongiae; Axinellida; Axinellidae
Description: partial large subunit ribosomal RNA
Source: RNAcentral